GUGUUUUUGUGUAUAUAUAUGUGUGUGUGUGUGUGUGUGUGUGUGUGUCGUGGAGGAGUGAACUGUGCCUGUCCUUGUGGGUGUAUGACGAACCAGGAUGUUGCCACGGUGACGGUGGUGGUGGGCAUGAUACAGAUGCGGGAGCUGGAGUUUGUGCCCGAUGGAGACAUGCAGCUGGACAAAUUCUGUUGCUCAUUGCUCAGACUGGAGUUUACAUGUAUACCUCCUUCACCAUCAUUGGUGGACACUUCACCAUGAGUGAUGCUUGAGCUGUCACGGUGCUGCUGCUGUUGUCUGCCAUCAUCCCCCUGACACAGACCACCCUGCAGACCACCUUCAUCCUGGGUGCCACACAUCACUGCUGCUACAACUCAGAGCAACUGGAACGCAAGCCAGGAAGGGAGAUAGUAACUUUUCACUUAAUUUGUUGUUUAUUUGAGGGCCUAAUGACAGACACAUAAUGGAAUGAGUAUUUGUGAAUGUUUGUUUAUAUCUAGAUACAGCAUUCACAUAUCUUUUAAGUGCCACCUUCCAAAAACAAUGUCAGCCAGAAAAAUAACUGAUGAAUCUAAUUACAUUUCAAGUCAAAAAGUUUUCCUUUAACCACUUUGCUCCAGAUGCUUAAAAACAUGCGUUGCUCACAUACAUGGCGUCGCGUAGGCUCGUGAGUGGUAACUUAUCUAAUUUCUAAUAAUUUCUAAUAUAAUUUCUGUGUGUGUGUGUGUGUGUGUGUGUGUGUGUGUGUGUGUGUGUGUGUGUGUGUGUGUGUGUGUGUGUGUGUGUGUGUGUGUGUGUGUUUUAUGUAUGAGUGACACUGGCCAAGGGCAACAAAAAUCCAAUAAAAAAAUAUGCCCACUGAAAUGGCAGUCCCAUAAAAGGGUCAAAGCAGUGGUCAAAAGUUGAUGAAUAAGUGUCUUGAAACCUCCCUCUUGAAGGAAUUCAAGUCAUAGGAAGGUGGAAAUACAGAAGCAGGCAGGGAGUUCCAGAGUUUACCAGAGAAAGGGAUGAAUGAUUGAGAAUACUUGUUAACUCUUGCAUUAGAGAAGUGGACAGAAUAGGGGUGAGAGAAAGAAGAAAAUAUUGUGCAGCGAGGCCGUGGAAGGAGGGGAGGCAUGCAGUUAGCAAGAUCAGAAAAGCAGUUAGCAUGAAAAUAGCGGUAGAAGACAGCUAGAGAUGCAACAUUGCGGCGGUGAGAGAGAGGCUGAAGACAGUCAGUUAUGUUUGUGUGUGUGUGUGUGUGUGUGUGUGUGUGUGUGUGUGUGUGUGUGUGUGUGUGUGUGUGUGUGUGUGCGCUGAUGCAGCUGAGAAGGUUGCCUUAUGAUAAUUAUUGACAAAUGAAGGUAAUGGAUGCGCAUGUCAUUACUACUUUUUUAAGUGUGUGUGUAUGUGUGUGUGUUAUGUACACACACACACACACACACACACACACACACACACACACACACACACACACACACACAAAGAGAAGUAAUAGACACGCAUCCUUUACCUUCAUUCAUCAAUAAUUGUCAUAAGACGACCUUCCCAGCUGCAUCAUUACACACACACACAUACACACACACACACAUUUACACACCACGUAGUGUAGUGGUUAGCACGCUCGGCUCACAACCAAGAAGGCCCAAGUUCGAAUCCCGGGCACGGUGAGGCAGAUGGACAAGCCUCUUAAUGUGUAGCCCCAGUUCACCUAGCUGCAACUAGCUGCAACUGUACAGGAUGUAACCCGAGGUGAUGUGACUUCGCUGUUCCGGUGUGUGGUGUGUCAUUGGCCUCAGUCCUACCCAAAGAUCAGUCACCAUGAACUCUGAGCUCUUACACACACACACACACACACACACACACACACACACACACACACACACACACACACACACACACAGAGAGAGAGAGAGAGAGAGAGAGAGAGAGAGAGAGAGAGAGAGAGAGAGAGAGAGAGAGAGAGAGAGAGAGAGAGAGAGAGAGAGAGAGAGAGAGAGCAAAAUGGCAAUGAAUGAAACAGGGAGGAGGGGGAACUGUGUGUGAAUGAAAACAUCAUCUACGUGAAACAUUUGAUUGAUUAUAAAGCACAUGUGCAUCAUAUAUAGUCAUGAAUGUGGAGGAACAGCAGAGUGAGUGAUCAACCACAGAAAGGAGAGAGUCGGACAUGCGGAGAGAAUGGAAGGGGAACAAUUUGAGAAGAUAAGCAUGCAAAUACAUAAAUAUAAGGUGGAAUAACAGUGUUUGGUGGGAAGAUGAAAGAGAGAUGCCUGUUUAUGAAGCAAAAUGGUUGUGCAAGAGAGGAAUGAUUGGAAAACCAUUCCCACCAAAGCCAACAGACCUUACACCAUAUUUUUACAAACCACAUCAUCUCUAUUCAUCCAUUCUGUGUGUCUUCUCUUCUCUCUCUCUCUCCACUCUUAAUGCUGCUGUGGGUUUCUGGGCUGGAGUACAUCAGAGAAAGAUUGACACCGACUUAUAUAUGAGAGGAUGUUGUCUGUAACUAUGCUAUGGGGACAUUGCAAGUUUGUGGGGUGUAAUGAAUGAAUAAGUGUGUCCUCUAUAGCAUACUUAAAAACCACACUCUCACAUGGAAAUCAAUCUCUCUCUCUCUCUCUCUCUCUCUCUCUCUCUCUCUCUCUCUCUCUCUCUCUCUCUCUCUCUCUCUCUCUCUC
Molecule: long non-coding RNA, 2651 nt
Organism: Scylla paramamosain (green mud crab)
Lineage: Eukaryota; Metazoa; Arthropoda; Malacostraca; Decapoda; Portunidae
Exons: 3
Source: RefSeq, a predicted model, not a curated record